UCUGCAUCGGUAUUUAAGUAUUUCGGGCAGGAGCAGUACAAUAGCUGGCCAAAGAGAGCCGGUUUCAGCAGAGCAUGUACUGCUAUAGUUGUAUGUGUGGUAUGUUAGCUAGACAGCAGGCCCAAGAGGCCUUUCUGAAUAUUUGUCUGACACUGAUAGAUAACGAAUGCUGGGAAUGUAAGGGACUGGCUCAUCUCUGAAAUAACACAACAGCCUCAAGCCGAAAAGUAUUUCACCAUUCCCAAAUGAAUUUCUACAUUUCGUCACGCUAUCUCCUAAGCUUGGUAGCCCUCUGUCUGACCAAACAGUAAUACCAAGCAAUCUGCAGGAACAGCCUUUAUCUGAACAUACCCAGCUCCCUUCCGUGUGCACACAUCCAGUGACACUGGGUGCAAACCUCAGGAAUCGAAAGUGAGACCCAGCAGCCUCCUCCCUCCAGCACUGGGCAGCCCUGAGCAGUUUCACUUCCCGCUUCCACUGGCCUGUGGAGCUGUCAGGAGUAGCUGCUCAGCCGGGCCUCACCUCGCCCUGCACGGAGACAUUGACAGAGGACCCGUUCAGUGCGGCUGCUGGCAUGUGCAAACACAUAGCUGGCCAUAAAAUGCUGUUCUUUACUUAGGCUUCCUUUCAGCCACACAGAACUGUCCUUAUCCUGGCCACAUGCUGGACACAGAUGCUGACAUCCAAGCACAGAAGUGCAAUGUUACUUAACUUUCAAAAAUUCAGAUCAGGGCCUUCUCUGAUAUUAAUAUUACGGCAAUAUUAGGAAAGCCUCAGAAUUCUGUUCAGAGGUCCCUGCUGCAGCAGACUGCCUCAGUGUGAGCACUCAGCAGAUGUCAUGACCCAGGACACAGGCUAUGGAGUACAGCACUCACCCCAGCACAGAAAUCCCAGAGAACCAGGUGCCCCAAGGCAACACAGAGGACGGAACCUUGUGUCUGUGACUGAAUCAGGAAUUGAAACCUGCUGUGGCUCAUUCCUCUUCAUUAUCUGCACAAGGAGGUCUGCAUGACUGGAAUGCAACGGGCAGAAGAGCCAAAACAUAUCUCCUGUGCAUGGCAGUCUUUCAAGUCUGAAAGUUGUCUCCAGAAAUAACAAGAAAAGAAAAUAAAAUUAGACUUUGUACCA
This 1128-nucleotide long non-coding RNA is filed under the name Phasianus colchicus (ring-necked pheasant). Its description in RNAcentral is "lncRNA (ENSPCLG00000016178.1)". The record is from RNAcentral. Lineage: Eukaryota; Metazoa; Chordata; Aves; Galliformes; Phasianidae.